CUGUGAGCAGGAUCUGGCCUUAGCUGUCCAUGGGCAAAUAAACAGCAGGCUGCAUCGCUGCCCUACACUCAGGUCUCUCUUCCAAGAGGGAGAAGAGGUUCUGACAAACCUUUCCUGGUGGUAAGUGCAACUGGUUGUGAUGUGACAGCUGGCAGAAAAUACAGCUAGCUCUGCCGUGGGUUCCCUGCUUCUGAAUGCACUGCAGCUCUACCCCAGAGCUG
RNAcentral lists this long non-coding RNA (221 nucleotides) under Zonotrichia albicollis (white-throated sparrow). Its description in RNAcentral is "lncRNA (ENSZALG00000000130.1)". The record is from RNAcentral. Lineage: Eukaryota; Metazoa; Chordata; Aves; Passeriformes; Passerellidae.